UACGGGGAGGGCAAGCGUUGUUCGGAAUUACGGGGCGUAAAGGGCUCGUAGGUGGCCAACUAAGUCAGACGUGAAAUCCCUCAGCUUAACUGGGGAACUGCGUCUGAUACUGGAUGGCUUGAGGUUGGGAGAGGGAUGCGGAAUUCCAGGUGUAGCGGUGAAAUGCGUAGAUAUCUGGAGGAACACCGGUGGCGAAGGCGGCAUCCUGGACCAACACUGACACUGAUGAGCGAAAGCCAGGGGAGCAAACGGG
This 253-nucleotide ribosomal RNA is filed under the name uncultured bacterium. Its description in RNAcentral is "partial 16S ribosomal RNA". It matches the Rfam family "Bacterial small subunit ribosomal RNA", at positions 524 to 776 of the family's 1533-position model. The record is from RNAcentral.